UCGAGCGAAGCGGUUUCAUGAAGUUUUCGGAUGGAAUUGAAAUUGACUUAGCGGCGGACGGGUGAGUAACGCGUGGGUAACCUGCCUUACACUGGGGGAUAACAGUUAGAAAUGACUGCUAAUACCGCAUAAGCGCACAGGGCCGCAUGGUCUGGUGUGAAAAACUCCGGUGGUGUAAGAUGGACCCGCGUCUGAUUAGGUAGUUGGUGGGGUAACGGCCCACCAAGCCGACGAUCAGUAGCCGACCUGAGAGGGUGACCGGCCACAUUGGGACUGAGACACGGCCCAAACUCCUACGGGAGGCAGCAGUGGGGAAUAUUGGACAAUGGGCGAAAGCCUGAUCCAGCGACGCCGCGUGAGUGAAGAAGUAUUUCGGUAUGUAAAGCUCUAUCAGCAGGGAAGAAAAUGACGGUACCUGACUAAGAAGCCCCGGCUAACUACGUGCCAGCAGCCGCGGUAAUACGUAGGGGGCAAGCGUUAUCCGGAUUUACUGGGUGUAAAGGGAGCGUAGACGGUUAAGCAAGUCUGAAGUGAAAGCCCGGGGCUCAACCCCGGUACUGCUUUGGGAACUGUUUGACUUG
RNAcentral lists this ribosomal RNA (581 nucleotides) under uncultured bacterium. RNAcentral describes it as "bacterial SSU rRNA". It matches the Rfam family "Bacterial small subunit ribosomal RNA", at positions 62 to 644 of the family's 1533-position model. The record is from RNAcentral.